Long non-coding RNA from Rhinichthys klamathensis goyatoka, 257 nucleotides. RefSeq lists it as uncharacterized. The transcript is spliced from 3 exons. Lineage: Eukaryota; Metazoa; Chordata; Actinopteri; Cypriniformes; Leuciscidae. The record is from RefSeq and is a predicted model, not a curated record.
GACGGGAGUUUUUCUUUGUGUACCAUUCUCGUUCAACAGAAUUACUGGCAAAAACCUAAAGCAGGAAUUCUACGAGAACCUUGAUAGAUAUAGUCCACGGUUCAUGGACCUUUUUAAAGCCAAAAGGGGGACUCCUGGUCGGUACUUGGCUAACUUUUUAAAUCAAAUAAAGUCAGCCCAGCCAACGGAGGUCCGAACCCUUGUGAUUCGAGGACUACCUAUCAUGCUUGGAGAUGAUGACUCCUCUUUCUUCAAGU